This is a long non-coding RNA of Sorghum bicolor (sorghum), 581 nucleotides long. RefSeq lists it as uncharacterized. The record is from RefSeq and is a predicted model, not a curated record. The transcript is spliced from 2 exons. Lineage: Eukaryota; Viridiplantae; Streptophyta; Magnoliopsida; Poales; Poaceae.
UCGCUCCCUACUUCUGCUCUGGCUUCGCCUUCUAUAGUCUCUGUCCUGAUAAUCCUCUCGAUACCUUCACAAAUGGCUAGCACUCAUAUUAAAAAUAAAGAUAAUUCAUCUGAAAUACUAUACCAAUUUUAGUACUAUGAGUAACAGAGCUAUCAUCCCAGCUGAAAAUUUCUUAAGUUAUAUUGUAUAGGUCUAAUUUGGUGCCUUCGUGGUACCAUUUGGGCACUUGAGCAAUAACCAUGAAACACAACACCAUUUUGCAGGGGCCCUUGUAUGCUAUAGCCUAUCACAAAGUUAAACGAGACAGCUAGGAGUACAUCUCUACUAAAGUAGUGAAGUGUGCCUAUUCCAUUUAGUGCAAGCAACACUUUUCUUUGUUUAUUGGUUAAUAAGCCUAAACAUGAGCAGUUUGGGAGACAAACAAAUUUAGUACGUAGCAAGAUACACAAAGUCAGUAAGGGCAUGAGGUCAUAGCUAGCUUUUCCUUCAGUGCAUGCAAUUUUGAAACAUCAUACACAAAGGGAACAGAGGGAGUACCAAGUAUGUCAUUGUCAAGAUUCAAAUAUGCAGGCUAUUUCUUA